UACGAAGGGGGCUAGCGUUGCUCGGAAUCACUGGGCGUAAAGCGCACGUAGGUGGUCCGCUAAGUCGCGUGUGAAAUCCCCCGGCUCAACCGGGGAAAUGCGCGUGAUACUGGCGGGCUUGAGAUCGGGAGGGGUGAAUGGAACUCCAGGUGGAGCGGUGAAAUGCGUAGAUAUCUGGAGGAACACCGGUGGCGAAAGCGGUUCACUGGCCCGACACUGACACUGAGGUGCGAAAGCUAGGGUAGCAAACGGG
RNAcentral lists this ribosomal RNA (253 nucleotides) under uncultured bacterium. RNAcentral's name for it is "partial 16S ribosomal RNA". It matches the Rfam family "Bacterial small subunit ribosomal RNA", at positions 524 to 776 of the family's 1533-position model. The record is from RNAcentral.